Molecule: unclassified non-coding RNA, 268 nt
Filed under: Hevea brasiliensis (rubber tree)
Lineage: Eukaryota; Viridiplantae; Streptophyta; Magnoliopsida; Malpighiales; Euphorbiaceae
Source: RNAcentral
AUUACAUAUGACAUGGAUCCACGUUAGACGCUGUACCUCCAGGGCAACACGCAAGCAAUACCAGACCAACUGAAAUUGAAGGAGGCAGACCCAAGAUUUUGCUGAGAAUCAUUCCCAAGGCUGGCAUAAUAGUAUAUUGAGCAGCACAACCAAACAGAAUAGAAAGAGGCCUUUGCAAUAACAAGUUAGUUAACUCUUUGAUCUCCAAUGUAAGACCCAUAGCAAGCAUUAUAAACCAAAGAGUCAAACUAUAUGAAGUGGGACUACA